This 432-nucleotide ribosomal RNA is filed under the name uncultured eukaryote. Its description in RNAcentral is "bacterial SSU rRNA". It matches the Rfam family "Eukaryotic small subunit ribosomal RNA", at positions 592 to 1017 of the family's 1831-position model. The record is from RNAcentral.
CAAUAGCGUAUGUUAAAGUUGUUGCGGCUAAAAGCUCGUAGUUGGAUUUCUGUUGAGGACAUCUGGUCCGCUCUAUGAGCGUGCAUCUAGUUUGGCCUCGGCAUCCGCUCUGCAAACGUUUCUGCGCUUGAUUGCGUGGCACGGAGGUAGGGCCUUUUACUUUGAGGAAAUUAGAGUGUUCACGGCAGGCAAUCGCCUUGAAUAUAUUAGCAUGGAAUAAUAACAUAGGAUCUUGGUUCUAUUUUGUUGGUUUCUAGGGCUAAGAUAAUGAUUAAUAGGGACAAUUGGGGCAUUCGGUAUUGCGGUGUUCAGAGGUGGAAUUCUUGGGAUUGAAUCUUGGCAUACCGUACGAACAUACUGCGAAAGCAUUUGCCAAGGAUGUUUUCAUUGAUCAAGAACGAAAGUAAGGGGAUCGAAGAUGAUUAGAUACCA